This 456-nucleotide unclassified non-coding RNA is filed under the name plant metagenome. Its description in RNAcentral is "partial contains 5.8S ribosomal RNA, internal transcribed spacer 2, and large subunit ribosomal RNA". The stretch from base 1 to 105 matches the Rfam family "5.8S ribosomal RNA", at positions 50 to 154 of the family's 154-position model. The record is from RNAcentral.
GAAAUGCGAUAAGUAAUGUGAAUUGCAGAAUUCAGUGAAUCAUCGAAUCUUUGAACGCAUCUUGCGCCUCUUGGUAUUCCGAGAGGCAUGCCUGUUUGAGUGUCAUUAAAUUCUCAACCUUGAAAAGCUUUUGCUUCUUUGAGGAUUGGAUGUGAGGGUUUGCUGGCUUUGAAUAAGAGUUUCAGCUCCCUUGAAAUACAUUAGUGGAAACCGCUUUGUUAGACCCACAUUGGCGUGAUAAUUAUCUACGCCAUUGACUUGAGUCUAUGCAUCGAAUGGAUUAUAGUGAUGAAAAAAGCUAUAACCACUUCGGUUUGGAGAGUUGCAGGUUGUUUUAAAUAAUGACUUUUGCUCUCUCUGUUGAGGUAUCUGCUUCAAACUGUCCUAAGUGAUUGGACAAACUUUUAUUGCUUUGUUUGACCUCAAAUCAGGUAGGACUACCCGCUGAACUUAAGC